This is a long non-coding RNA of Fukomys damarensis (Damara mole-rat), 2156 nucleotides long. The record is from Ensembl. NCBI's taxonomy places the organism in Eukaryota, Metazoa, Chordata, Mammalia, Rodentia, Bathyergidae.
UGUGUGUUAGCCAGCUCUUUGUCACUGAGACCAAAACACCUCAUACAUACAACUUAAAGAAGGAAAGUUUUAGUUUGGUUCACAGUUCCAGGAGUUUCAGUCCAUGAGUCCGUGGUUGUAUGGUUCUAAGGCACAAACAUUGUGGCAGAAGAGCAUCGCCAAGGAAAUCUACUAGUAUCACAGCAUUCAGGAAGAGAGUAAAAUAAAGAACCAAUAGGAAAUGGCAGAAGAUUGGAGACUUUUUUUAGUACUAGGGAUCGAACUCAGGAUCUUGAGCUUGUAAGGCAGGUGGCGGCAUGGCUGAGCUACAUUCCCGGCCUCAGAGACAUUUUCUUCCAAGGCAAGCCCCCAGUGACUCACUGGCUCCAACUAUGCCUAGCUGACAGCCCGGUCAUCUAUAAGCUCAUCAGUGGGGUAAUUCACUGAUGAUGUUGUCAGCCUCACUGUCCAACCUGUGCCUGUCUUGAUCCAGUCAAGAUGAUAAAGCUAACCACUCCAGGGAGGGAAAAUGCUGUCCAAAAACCUCAAAGGUCCUGAAGGGAGGUCUCAAGGUUGAAACCUAAGGCCUCCCUUCAAUGGCUAUGCUCUCUUCCCCUGUGUGCACACGUCUUGGAGAAGGACAACACCUAACUGCCAAAGCAUCUUCGUAUGCACAGCGUUGGUUAGUGGAACAUGAAUAGGACUUCGGCAGGCUUUGAGUGGGAAAAGGACUGCAGAAUGUCUCCUCCCCGGGCUCCUCAGCCCUGACAGCCUCCCCUUUUAUUCACAGCAUCUGCACCCAGCUCUGUCUUCCUGCACCAGGGGAAGAGCUGGAGAGGACCAGUGACCAGGACAAAGAGGACAAGAAGGCUGCUGUGUGAUUCUCCUCUAACGUAUGAGCCAGAGCAUGGUGCCAGUCUACAGGUGUUUCCGUUCCUGGAAGAAGGGCACUACCUGCAGCGUGUGAGUCACACUCCUGGGCAACGCAGUGCAGAAGCAGCCUCAAUAGUGCGGCCCCAUCUGUCCCGGAGCCCCCUCGAAGAGCUCCAUCUCACCCCAGGUUGGAAAGACAGUAGAUAAUUCACCUCUUCCAGUCACCUUCCCUUGCUGUGUUCACAGAGCAGGUUGUCCCAGAGCCAGACCAAUCAGUUUGUUGGAUGGGUGGACGCUCAGUCCCAGCUCCAGACCAGAGUGGAUUGAAAGUUCUGGGAGGAGUCUAGCAAGCUGUGAUUCAUGGAGCCCUUCAGGGUGUAUGGAUGCUGGGCAGAGCCUGAGAACCAGGGUGGGCCACAUGCUGAGCUACAGCAUCCCCAGCAGCUGAUGCUAACCCAGGCUGACUGAGUCCAGGGCCCUGAGCCCACAGCUGAGCUAAGCACUCUGUGCCUUCUGUCUGCACGGUGCUCUCGCCUCACCCGCACACUGGAAUCAGUGAGGAUUCUCUGAAAAGUACUGGCUCUCAGGGCCAACUCCAGACAAACACAAUCUAGACGGCCUGGAAGGGAUCUAAGAAAUAGGUAUUUUAAAAAGACCUGCCAGUUGAUUCUGGUGCCCAGGGAGGGUCGGGAAGCACCCUUCUAGCCCCACCUCUGGCACUUUGUAGUCCUGUUACUGGCCGGUUCUAACGGCCCCACCCUUGACAUCUGCAUCUGCCGAAUGGGGUGAUGACUCCCACCCUCUCUCCUCCCAAGGUUGUCAUGUGGAGGAAUGAAGCAAAAAAUACGAGGUCUUACUGUCACUGCUCUUAACACUGUAAGAAAGAUGGGCUUGAGCCCCUAGCUCCAGUACAGUGUGAAGGUCUUGCUAAACCAACAUUACAGGAGGCCGUUGUUUUGGACUAAGUUUUUGUGAGAUGCAAGCUAAAACUCAAAGUGAAGUCACUCGUUCUAAAGCUCACCAAGCUAAAACUAAGCUGUUGAUCUGGCCUUGCAAGAAAUCAGGAUUAAAGUGAUAACAGUUAAAUUUCCCAAAUAGCUCAGGUUCAACAAAUAGUGAAGUUCCCUCUGCUUGAGGCCUUAUACAUGAGAAGAAACCUAGCAUCACCUGAUAUUAACUAAUCGUUUAUUUUCCUAUUCUGUCUUACACAGAAAGUAACUGUAAACCACCAACUGGCUUUUUGUUCCCUAUCCUGCUUUCUGUAACCCUCUGUUUAUAAAAUCAACCUCCUUUGUUUCGCCCCU